CGAGUCACGUAGCAAUGCGUGGCGAACGGCUCAGUAACACGUAGUCAACAUGCCCAGGGGACGUGGAUAACCUCGGGAAACUGAGAUUAAACCGCGAUAGGUCAAGAUUUCUGGAAUGGAUUUUGGCUUAAAUCUACAUGGCCCCUGGAUUGGACUGCGGCCGAUCAGGCUGUUGGUGAGGUAAUGGCCCACCAAACCUAUAACCGGUACGGGCUCUGAGAGGAGAAGCCCGGAGAUGGGCACUGAGACAAGGGCCCAGGCCCUAUGGGGCGCAGCAGGCGCGAAACCUCUGCAAUGGGCGAAAGCCUGACAGGGUUACUCUGAGUGAUUUCCGCUAAGGAGAUCUUUUGGCAGCUCUAAAAAUGGUGCAGAAUAAGGGGUGGGCAAGUCUGGUGUCAGCCGCCGCGGUAAUACCAGCACCCCGAGUGGUCGGGACGAUUAUUGGGCCUAAAGCAUCCGUAGCCGGUUGUGCAAGUCCUCCGUUAAAUCCAGCCGCUCAACGGAUGGGCUGCGGAGGAUACUACAGGACUAGGAGGCGGGAGAGGCAAGCGGUACUUAGUGGGUAGGGGUAAAAUCCUUUGAUCCAUUGAAGACCACCAGUGGCGAAGGCGGCUUGCCAGAACGCGCUCGACGGUGAGGGAUGAAAGCUGGGGGAGCAAACCGGAUUAGAUACCCGGGUAGUCCCAGCUGUAAACGAUGCAGACUCGGUGAUGGGCUAGCCUCGUGUCAGCCCAGUGCCGCAGGGAAGCCGUUAAGUCUGCCGCCUGGGGAGUACGGUCGCAAGACUGAAACUUAAAGGAAUUGGCGGGGGAGCACCACAAGGGGUGAAGCCUGCGGUUCAAUUGGAUUCAACGCCGGG
This 859-nucleotide ribosomal RNA is filed under the name uncultured archaeon. RNAcentral's name for it is "bacterial SSU rRNA". It matches the Rfam family "Archaeal small subunit ribosomal RNA", at positions 54 to 922 of the family's 1478-position model. The record is from RNAcentral.